RNAcentral lists this ribosomal RNA (191 nucleotides) under uncultured bacterium. Its description in RNAcentral is "partial 16S ribosomal RNA". It matches the Rfam family "Bacterial small subunit ribosomal RNA", at positions 334 to 522 of the family's 1533-position model. The record is from RNAcentral.
UACUCCUACGGGAGGCAGCAGCGAGGAAUAUUGGUCAAUGGACGCAAGUCUGAACCAGCCAUGCCGCGUGCAGGAUGACGGCUCUAUGAGUUGUAAACUGCUUUUGUACAAGGGUAAACCUCGGUACGUGUACCGAGCUGAAAGUACUGUACGAAUAAGGAUCGGCUAACUCCGUGCCAGCAGCCGCGGUA